RNAcentral lists this ribosomal RNA (251 nucleotides) under uncultured prokaryote. Its description in RNAcentral is "partial 16S rRNA". It matches the Rfam family "Bacterial small subunit ribosomal RNA", at positions 525 to 775 of the family's 1533-position model. The record is from RNAcentral.
ACGGAGGGUGCAAGCGUUAUUCGGAAUUACUGGGCGUAAAGAGCGCGUAGGCGGAUAGGCAAGUCAGAUGUGAAAUCCCGGGGCUUAACCCUGGAACUGCAUUUGAAACUACUUGACUUGAGUAUGGGAGAGGGGGGUGGAAUUCCCGGUGUAGAGGUGAAAUGCGUAGAUAUGGGGAGGAACACCGAUGGCGAAGGCAGCCCCCUGGGCUAAUACUGACGCUGAGGCGCGAAAGCGUGGGUAGCAAACAG